RNAcentral lists this ribosomal RNA (449 nucleotides) under uncultured bacterium. RNAcentral's name for it is "partial 16S ribosomal RNA". It matches the Rfam family "Bacterial small subunit ribosomal RNA", at positions 29 to 523 of the family's 1533-position model. The record is from RNAcentral.
AACGAACGCUGGCGGCAUGCCUAACACAUGCAAGUCGAACGAGAUCUUCGGGUCUAGUGGCGCACGGGUGCGUAACGCGUGGGAAUCUGCCCUUUGGUUCGGAAUAACAGUUGGAAACGACUGCUAAUACCGGAUGAUGACGAAAGUCCAAAGAUUUAUCGCCAGAGGAUGAGCCCGCGUAGGAUUAGCUAGUUGGUGUGGUAAAGGCGCACCAAGGCGACGAUCCUUAGCGGGUCUGAGAGGAUGAUCAGCCACACUGGGACUGAGACACGGCCCAGACUCCUACGGGAGGCAGCAGUGGGGAAUAUUGGACAAUGGGCGAAAACCUGAUCCAGCAAUGCCGCGUGAGUGAUGAAGGCCUUAGGGUUGUAAAGCUCUUUUACCCGGGAUGAUAAUGACAGUACCGGGAGAAUAAGCUCCGGCUAACUCUGUGCCAGCAGCCGCCGUAA